GGAAGGUGGGGAUGACGUCAAGUCCUCAUGGCCCUUAUGCCCAGGGCUACACACGUGCUACAAUGGGCGGUACAAAGGGUAGCGAUGCCGCGAGGUGAAGCCAAUCCCAAAAAGCCGUCCACAGUUCGGAUUGGAGUCUGCAACUCGACUCCAUGAAGCCGGAAUCGCUAGUAAUCGUGGAUCAGCAUGCCACGGUGAAUACGUUCCCGGGCCUU
This 215-nucleotide ribosomal RNA is filed under the name uncultured Desulfobacterium sp. RNAcentral describes it as "partial 16S ribosomal RNA". It matches the Rfam family "Bacterial small subunit ribosomal RNA", at positions 1168 to 1382 of the family's 1533-position model. The record is from RNAcentral. Lineage: Bacteria; Pseudomonadati; Thermodesulfobacteriota; Desulfobacteria; Desulfobacterales; Desulfobacteriaceae.